Molecule: ribosomal RNA, 904 nt
Filed under: uncultured candidate division SR1 bacterium
Lineage: Bacteria; Candidatus Absconditibacteriota
Description: bacterial SSU rRNA
Rfam family: Bacterial small subunit ribosomal RNA
Source: RNAcentral
GAGUUUGAUCCUGGCUCAGGAUGAACGCUAGCGGAACGCCUAACACAUGCAAGUCGAACGGAUUCUGCGUUGUAGCAAUACAUAGUAGAAUUAGUGGCAAACGAGCGAGUAACGCGUGCCUAACCUGCCCUUAAGAUGGGAACAACUACGGAGACGUAGCUAAAUCCCAAUAUGCUCACGAUGGUGAAAUGCCGAUGCGAGGAAAGAUUUAUCGCUUAAGGAGGGGGGCGCGUCCUAUCAGGUAGUUGGUUGAGGUAACGGCUCACCAAGCCUAUGACAGGUAGCUGGUCUGAGAUGAUGUCCAGCCGCGAUGGGACUGAGAUACGGCCCAUACUCCUACGGGAGGCAGCAGUGGGGAAUCUUGCACAAUGGACGAAAGUCUGAUGCAGCGAUCCCGCGUGAAGGAUGAAGCAUUACGGUGUGUAAACUUCUUUUUUGGUGGAAGACGAAUGACGGUACACCAAGAAUAAGAGACGGCUAACUACGUGCCAGCAGCCGCGGUAAUACGUAGGUCUCAAGCGUUAUCCGGAUUUACUGGGCGUAAAGUAUCCGUAGCCUGAUAUGUAAGUCUGUUUUCAAAUCCCACGACUCAAUCGUGGAAAGGGAAUGGAUACUGCAUAUCUAGAAGUUAUUGGGGGUUAGUGGAAUUUCCGGUGGAGCGGUGAAAUGCGUUGAUAUCGGAAAGAACGCCGAAAGCGAAAGCAGCUAACUAUGAUUAACUUGACGGUGAGGGAUGAAAGUUUGGGUAGCAAACGGGAUUAGAUACCCCGGUAGUCCAAACUGUAAAUUAUGCUUGCUAGGUGUUUCGAUCCUUGUGGUCGGAGUGCCGUAAUCUAACGAGUUAAGCAAGUCGCCUGGAUAGUAUAUUCGCAAGAAUGAAACUCAAAGGGAUAGGCGGGGGAGC